CUUGGGCGCCCUCUGCGCGCAGGAUGGAUCCGCUAUCAAUGACCGAGUGACACUGGGUGCAACUACCUCAACUAUCAAAAUGGCGGUCAUGAGUGUGAUGAAAUGAAAACCAGCGAAAUAUAAUCGCCCUCUAAGUCUUCUCCGGUAAAUAUGUAACUUCCAAGCAGUCACCUGGUUUGGAAGUGGGACCAGAGGUGUUGGUGAAGCUGAAAAAAGCAAUCUGCAAACACUGUUGUGGAGAGAGGAAAUCACAGCCUACAAGAGAUUGGAUUGAAUAUGAGGUUGAAAAGUACAGUCAAGCAACAACAAAAUCAGUUCAAUGGUGAUAAAGGCUGACAGGGAAAUAAUAUUAAUCGCAUACUUUACAGAGCUGUACCUAGCCUAUGGACUCCACUGUGAGGUGAGAAAUGGCUUCUUUGUUUUGGCUUGGCUAGUCUUAUUCUUAUUUGAAUCCACCUGUCUAUGAGUGAUGUUACUACAUGUCAAUGUACACUGUUCUUAAGCUCAGUAAUGGUACACACUGCAAUAAGUACAAAAAAGUAAAAGGAUAACCAGUACCCAUUAUUUACUCAAAAGUAAACAAUGGACUAGCAUCCCAUCCAGGGGGGAGUAGAAAUACUGAACUAGUCGCUUCAUACUACAGAAACUGGGAUAAGAUCCAGCCUGAUGGGCCACUGGGCUUGUAUACAGACUUAAACUUUUGCCUCGCAUAUUAAGCACUGCAUUAACACUUUAGAAGAACUUAUUAUAAUUGGUAGCAGGGCACUUUUAUGACUGAAAUCGAAACAUGUUAUAUCCCAUGAACAAGUUACUGUGCCUUUCAAUAACACACAAACUCUGCUCAAUCAAAGGUUUUGUGUUUUACCGCUG
This is a long non-coding RNA of Orbicella faveolata, 870 nucleotides long. The record is from RefSeq and is a predicted model, not a curated record. Lineage: Eukaryota; Metazoa; Cnidaria; Anthozoa; Scleractinia; Merulinidae.